GGCCCUAUGGGGUGCAGCAGGCGAGAAACCUUUACAAUGCACGAAAGUGUGAUAAGGGAAUCCCAAGUGCCUUGCCAUUGGUAAGGCUUUUGUUGAGUGUAAAAAGCUUGGUGAAUAAGUGAUGGGCAAGACCGGUGCCAGCCGCCGCGGUAACACCGGCGUCACUAGUGGCAAUCAUGUUUAUUGGGCCUAAAGGGUUCGUAGCCGGUUUAGUAAAUUUCUUGUGAAAUUGUUGGGCUUAACUCAACAACGUGCAAGAAAGACUGCUAGACUUGGAACCGGGAGGAGGCAGAGGUAUUCCGGGGGGAGCGGUAAAAUGCAAUAAUCCCCGGGGGACCACCUGUGGCGAAGGCGUCUGUCUAGAACGGGUUCGACGGUGAGGGACGAAGGCUAGGGGAGUGAAAAGGAUUAGAUACCCUUGUAGUCCUAGCUGUAAACGCUGCGAGCUAUGUGUUGCAUGUUCUUCGAGAAUAUGCAGUGCCUGAGCGAAGGUGUUAAGCUCGCCGCCUGGGAAGUACGGUCGCAAGAUUGAAACUUAAAGGAAUUGGCGGGGGAGCAC
Molecule: ribosomal RNA, 559 nt
Filed under: uncultured archaeon
Lineage: Archaea
Description: bacterial SSU rRNA
Rfam family: Archaeal small subunit ribosomal RNA
Source: RNAcentral